RNAcentral lists this ribosomal RNA (468 nucleotides) under uncultured bacterium. RNAcentral's name for it is "partial 16S ribosomal RNA". It matches the Rfam family "Bacterial small subunit ribosomal RNA", at positions 28 to 507 of the family's 1533-position model. The record is from RNAcentral.
GACGAACGCUGGCGGCGUGCUUAACACAUGCAAGUCGAACGGAAAGGCCCUGCUUUUGUGGGGUGCUCGAGUGGCGAACGGGUGAGUAACACGUGAGUAACCUGCCCUUGACUUUGGGAUAACUUCAGGAAACUGGGGCUAAUACCGGAUAGGAGCUCCUGCUGCAUGGUGGGGGUUGGAAAGUUUCGGCGGUUGGGGAUGGACUCGCGGCUUAUCAGCUUGUUGGUGGGGUAGUGGCUUACCAAGGCUUUGACGGGUAGCCGGCCUGAGAGGGUGACCGGCGACAUUGGGACUGAGAGACGGCGCAGACUGCUACGGGAGGCAGCAGUGGGGAGUAUUGCACAAUGGGCGGAAGCCUGAUGCAGCAACGCCGCGUGCGGGAUGACGGCCUUCGGGUUGUAAACCGCUUUCGCCUGUGACGAAGCGUGAGUGACGGUAAUGGGUAAAGAAGCACCGGCUAACUACGUG